Molecule: non-coding RNA, 1002 nt
Organism: Capsicum annuum
Lineage: Eukaryota; Viridiplantae; Streptophyta; Magnoliopsida; Solanales; Solanaceae
Source: Rfam
CAGAAUUAGAGGGGAAAGAAGGCCUUGUUGAGCUUGACUCUAGUUCGACUUUGUGAAAUGACUUGAGAGGUGUAGUAUAAGGGGGAUACGAAAGGGAAAAGUGAAAUACCACUACUUAUAAUGUUAUUUUACUUAUUUUGUGAAUCAAAAGUGGGGCACUACCCCUCUUUUUUAACCCAAGGCUCGCUCUGCAUGCUAAUCCAGGAAGAAGAUAUUGUUAGGCGGGGAGUUUGGCUGAGGUGGCAUAUCUGCUAAAAGAUAAUGUCGGUGUCCUAAGAUAAGCUCAACAAGAACAAAAAUAUCGUGUGGAACAGAAGGUUAAAAGCUCGUUUGAUUCUGAUUUACAGUACGAAUAUGAACCAUGAAAGUGUGGCCAAAUGAUCCUUUACACCUUCAUAAUUCGAAGCUUGAAGUGUCAAAAAUGUUGCUACAGGGAUAACUGGAUUUUUGAAGCCAAGCGUUCAUAGCGACGUUGCUUUUUGUUCCUUUGAUGUCGGCUCUUCCUUUCAUUGUGAAUCAGAAUUCACCAAGUGUUGGAUUGUUCACCCACCAAUAAGGAACGUGAGCUGGGUUUAGAUCAUGGUGAGAUAGAUUAGGUUUACCCUAUUAAUGAAAGUUUCUUAAUAUUAAUUCAACCUAGUAUGAAAGGAACCGUUGAUUCGCAUAAUCAGUCAACGCUCUUAGUUAAAAUGCAAGUGGCGCAAAAAUACCGUGUGCUGGAUUAUGACUGAAUGCCUCUAAUUAAGAAUCCAGGCUAGAAUCAACACAUGCGCCCUUCGUCCAUUUGUCGACAUGCAGUAGGGGCCUCGGCGCCUAAUGGUAUGUGUCGUUGGAUAAUCCAUUGUGGCGAAAAUUUUGCGGUGGUCGCCUUUAAGUACAAUUUUCAUCGAGUGGCGAGUAGAAUCCUUUGCAGAUGACUUAAAUACCCGACCGGGUAUUAUAAGAGCUGAGUGGCCUUGCUUUCAUAAUCUACAGAGAUUUAGCCCUUUGUUGCUCCGGUUU